GAUGACUCCUAAACAAAGAAAGAACAAUGGUAAUUUCCUUGUGAACCGGUACACCAGGACAGAACCUCUUUCUCAGUUAAACAAAGCAAACUAACUAAAGCUCAUGAACUGUUGUUGGCUCAACAGUGAGACAAAGGGUGACAAAACUUUUUGAGGGAGAAGUUAAUAGACAUCAGAGGAUGCUGAGGAGGGGUAGGGACUCACAUUUAAGAGCUCUCACAGCUGGGAGUCUCACAGCUGCUAGAAGGAAGAGUUGGGAAAUGUUGACACUGACAUUUUCAAGAGGGAGGAGUGCCUCACAGGAAAACGAUCCUGGCUUGGGAAGGUUUUAAUUAAAUUAUUAUUAUAAUUACUUUAUGUGCUGUAAUACUUGCAUUGCUAUUCAUUUGCACACUUUUGAACAGCUUUUUUCUUGUAAAAGAUCAUGUUGUUUUGAUAGUUACAUGUACAGUAAGUUUCUUAAAUGCACUGAUUUUGUGGGAUUUCACUUUAAUAUCAAAUAGAUAAGAUUUCCCUGAGACUACAAGCUGUGGUUUGAAACCACGAAUGCAGAGUUCCCUGUAGAUUGUAGGAACCAAAAAAGAGGAUGUUGGUGAGUCACAAGAGGCCAGUGAAUUGCAUACCUGUAAGGGGGAUUUCUCUAGUGAAACACUGUUAGAGAUGACAACAAAUAUUGAGAGUCAAAAACAAUGCAGAGAGCACAAUGGAGAGAGUGGGUACCUGAAAGUCAUCCCAGGGCUGGUGGAACUGAUGACCAAGAGACCUUUUUCAGUAUUGCCAACUGCUAGCUGGAACUGACCUUCUCUCUUAAGUAGUUUCAAAGAAAAGUGGCCACAACUGGUCAGGUAAAGAAGCUUUCACAUUACCCUAGGUUUUGGACACAGUGCACAGCAUUCCAUUUUGAUGCUGUUUCUGCAUGAUGCUUUGCAUGUGGGAUGGCCAAAGAAUUAAGAAACUAGAACCAGUAGAAUCAACACAAGUGAAAAGGGAAAUUCAAGGUCUGAACCACUGAAAAAUGUUACAAAACCCUCACAAUAAUUAAUCACACAUUUCAAUAUUUGACAAAAUCCAUCAAAUCUUUAAAAUAAUUUGAACUUGAACUUGAACUUUAUUUUUACCUAGACACGGCAAAUCUAUCAGGUAAAAUAAUA
Long non-coding RNA from Stylophora pistillata, 1151 nucleotides. The record is from RefSeq and is a predicted model, not a curated record. NCBI's taxonomy places the organism in Eukaryota, Metazoa, Cnidaria, Anthozoa, Scleractinia, Pocilloporidae.